This 289-nucleotide unclassified non-coding RNA is filed under the name Hevea brasiliensis (rubber tree). Lineage: Eukaryota; Viridiplantae; Streptophyta; Magnoliopsida; Malpighiales; Euphorbiaceae. The record is from RNAcentral.
AAACCAUUAUGAUUCGCAAUGCAUAUAACUCUCCAUUCUCUAACAAAGCACGUCUGACACAUCAUAGAUGGGGGAGAGGUUUUGCCGGGGGGUGGGGAGUGUUCUUUGAGUAAUUACAUGUACACACAUCUUUACCACUGAAGAUGCUCCAUUUUGUGGCUCGCUUUCCUUAAUAUUACACAUACUAUUGUAACAGUUGUUGCUCAAUAAUUGCACAACCGGCUUCAGCAGGCUGUUUUCAAAAGCUUGAACAUAACCAGAUUGUCAUCAUUUGUCCUUGUUUUCACCG